GGCAAUCCUGCCUGUGUGUGCUGAGGUCCCCAUGGUGGCCUUCACGCUGGAGCUGCAGCACGCCCUGCAGGCCAUCGGUCCGACGCUACUCCUUAACAGUGACAUCAUCCGGGCACGCCUGGGGGCCUCCGCACUGGAUAGCAUCCAAGAGUUCCGGCUGUCAGGGUGGCUGGCCCAGCAGGAGGAUGCACACCGUAUCGUACUCUACCAGACGGAC
Molecule: unclassified non-coding RNA, 217 nt
Filed under: Hevea brasiliensis (rubber tree)
Lineage: Eukaryota; Viridiplantae; Streptophyta; Magnoliopsida; Malpighiales; Euphorbiaceae
Source: RNAcentral